AGAGUUGAUCCUGGCUUAGGACGAACGCUGGCGGCGUGCCUAACACAUGCAAGUCGAGCGAGGAGAUCCUCGGGAUGAUCCUAGCGGCGGACGGGUGAGUAACACGUGGGCAACCUGCCUCAUAGAGAGGAAUAGCCUUCCGAAAGGGAGAUUAAUACCUCAUAACAUUGCAGUUUCGCAUGGAACAGCAAUUAAAGGAGUAAUCCGCUAUGAGAUGGGCCCGCGGCGCAUUAGCUAGUUGGUGAGGUAACGGCUCACCAAGGCGACGAUGCGUAGCCGACCUGAGAGGGUGAUCGGCCACAUUGGGACUGAGACACGGCCCAGACUCCUACGGGAGGCAGCAGGUGGGGAAUAUUGCACAAUGGGGGAAACCCUGAUGCAGCCAACGCCGCGUGAGUGAUGACGGCCUUCGGGUUGUAAAGCUCUGUCUUCAGGGACGAUAAUGACGGUACCUGAGGAGGAAGCCACGGCUAACUACGUGCCAGCAGCAGC
This 492-nucleotide ribosomal RNA is filed under the name uncultured bacterium. Its description in RNAcentral is "bacterial SSU rRNA". It matches the Rfam family "Bacterial small subunit ribosomal RNA", at positions 8 to 518 of the family's 1533-position model. The record is from RNAcentral.